UGAUCAGAAGCUAUAUUGAGCGUCUAGCUGUUAACUAGGAGGUUGUAAGUUCAACUUAAUUCUUACCUGAUCAG
This 74-nucleotide transfer RNA is filed under the name Phasianella solida. RNAcentral describes it as "tRNA-Asn". The record is from RNAcentral. Lineage: Eukaryota; Metazoa; Mollusca; Gastropoda; Trochida; Phasianellidae.